RNAcentral lists this transfer RNA (75 nucleotides) under Lachnospiraceae bacterium. Its description in RNAcentral is "tRNA-Gln". It matches the Rfam family "tRNA". From Rfam's summary of the family: Transfer RNA (tRNA) molecules are approximately 80 nucleotides in length. Their secondary structure includes four short double-helical elements and three loops (D, anti-codon, and T loops). Further hydrogen bonds mediate the characteristic L-shaped molecular structure. tRNAs have two regions of fundamental functional importance: the anti-codon, which is responsible for specific mRNA codon recognition, and the 3' end, to which the tRNAs corresponding amino acid is attached (by aminoacyl-tRNA synthetases). tRNAs cope with the degeneracy of the genetic code in two manners: having more than one tRNA (with a specific anti-codon) for a particular amino acid; and 'wobble' base-pairing, i.e. permitting non-standard base-pairing at the 3rd anti-codon position. The record is from RNAcentral. Lineage: Bacteria; Bacillati; Bacillota; Clostridia; Lachnospirales; Lachnospiraceae.
ACCGGGCUGGUGCAGCGGUCAGCAAAGCCGGCUUUGACCCGGCAGAGGAAGGUUCAAGUCCUUCGCCCGGUUCCA